Molecule: ribosomal RNA, 460 nt
Filed under: uncultured bacterium
Lineage: Bacteria
Description: partial 16S ribosomal RNA
Rfam family: Bacterial small subunit ribosomal RNA
Source: RNAcentral
CCUACGUGAGGCAGCAGUGAGGACUAUUGGUCAAUGGCCGGAAGGCUGAACCAGCCAUGCCGCGUGAAGGUCAGUGCCCUCUGGGCGUUACACUUCUUUUGUGCGGGAGCAAUACUGGUCACGUGUGGCCAGACGAGAGUACCGUACGAAUAAGCAUCGGCUAACUCCGUGCAAGCAGACGCGGUAAUACGGGGGAUGCAAGCGUUAUCCCGAUUUAUUGGGGUUAAAGGGUGAGUAGGCUGGUAGGUAAGUCAGCGGUGAAAUGCCGCCGCUCAACGGGGUGACGUGCCAUUGAUACUGCCUUGCUGGAAUGCGGAUGCCGUGGGAGGAAUGUGUGGUGUAGCGGUGAAAUGCAUAGAUAUCACACAGAACACCGAUUGCGAAGGCAUCUCACGAAUCCGCGAUUGACGCUGAUGCACGAAAGCGUGGGUAUCAAACAGGAUUAGAUACCCGGGUAGUC